AUGCUGGACAGAAGUUGUUGGGUGUGUUUUGCCACCGAUAAAGAUGAUAGAAGAGCUGAAUUGGUGAGACCAUGCAAGUGCAGAGCAUCUACUAAGUGAGUUCACCAGGUUAGUCUACAAUGCUGGGUGGAUGACACGCAAAGAGAAAAAAGUGAAACCAGAGUGGCGUAUCCUCAGUGCAAUGACUGAAUGACUUAAUAGUUUUUCCAAAGUCAGGUCCAGUUCUUUUGUUGGGUCUUGCAUAUAGACUGGUCUCAAAAGCUUGCCCUUCUACUGCAUGCAGCAGGAAUAACGGUGGGAUCUGUCUGAUGGAGCAGACGUGACUUACGAAGCAGCAACAGUGCUUCAGGUUGUAGGCCAUAAGGACACCCUGGAUGUCAUGGAGCAAGCUGACCCUUUAUGUCUUUGAUUAGACUUCCUACUAUUCCUGUCACACUGAUAAAUAGGCAAAACGAUUCGCUGGGAAGACGAUGUGCAUAGACUAUGACCCAAAUACUCAAAUAAACUACAAAUCUUGAACAGGAUAUUCCCAAGGAUUUGGUUGUUCUGUUCCCUGAAGUCCAGCUGAAGCUGAGCCUUUAGCAGAUCUCUGCUCCUAGAGGUCUGUGUGGAGCCCUUGUGUCUCCUACUAUUGCGACAAUAGUCGGCAAUCUGAUGUUCAGUAUGUUAACUCAAAUUUAUAAAGGACAGUCUUGGCUGGAAUUGCCUUUGUUGCCAUAAAAGGAGCAUAUAAGGUUUACUUCAAACAGCAGCAACAUUUAUAUCAGGCACACCCCCAAAUCCUAAAUUAUUCAGAGCAGGACGAGGUCUAAAUCUGAGUCCUGGUUGUUCUGAGGCCUCUCCUC
Molecule: RNA transcript, 845 nt
Organism: Mastomys coucha (southern multimammate mouse)
Lineage: Eukaryota; Metazoa; Chordata; Mammalia; Rodentia; Muridae
Gene name: E3 ubiquitin-protein ligase MARCH5 pseudogene
Exons: 1
Source: RefSeq, a predicted model, not a curated record